Molecule: small RNA, 1552 nt
Filed under: Pongo abelii (Sumatran orangutan)
Lineage: Eukaryota; Metazoa; Chordata; Mammalia; Primates; Hominidae
Description: retained intron
Source: RNAcentral
UUUUACAAAGGCCGUUUCUGCCCUCUCCCCCCCGUCCCCCACCCCCCUCCACAGACCUACUUACCCAGCCUCUGAGCCGCAGUGCCCUCCUCUGUAAAGUGGGUAUAUCAGAGCGCCAAGUGCCUGGAUUACAGGAAAGGGCUGCGUUUAGCUGCGCACCCAGCCACGGCUGGGACAAACACGCGCAGUGACACGCGGCGGCUGCGGUUCCCGCGCUGGCCGCGGUCGGGCUCUGGCGCUCCUGAGCCCGCGCUCGGCCCGCAGGACGUGAAGACCACGUACUUCUGCAACACAUGCGGGCAGCCCCUGUGCGCGCGCUGCCGCGACGAGACGCACCGAGCACGCAUGUUCGCACGCCACGACAUCGUGGCCCUGGGUCAGCGAAGCCGCGACGUGCCCCAGAAGUGCACGCUGCACGCAGAGCCCUACCUGUUGUUCUCCACCGACAAGAAGUUGCUGUUGUGCAUCCGCUGCUUCCGCGACAUGCAGGGGUGCGUAGAGGGGGCGCGAGGGGAGGGGGCUGGGGGCGGCUGGAGCGGGCCUCACCCGCCGCCUUCUACAGGGAGAGCCGGGCGCACUGCGUGGACCUGGAAUCGGCUUACGUGCAGGGCUGCGAGCGGCUGGAGCAGGCGGUGCUGGUGAGCGCAGGGGCCUGGCGCGCGGGGCCGCGCAGCGGCGAUCGCGAGCCUGACCACGCCCUGUCCCCAGGCCGUGAAGGCCCUACAGACGGCCACGCGGGAGGCCAUCGCGCUGCUGCAGGCCAUGGUGGAGGAGGUGCGGCACAGCGCCGCCGAGGAGGAGGACGCUAUCCACGCCCUCUUCGGCAGCAUGCAGGACAGGCUGGCGGAGAGGAAAGCGCUGCUGCUGCAGGCUGUGCAGAGCCAAUACGAAGAGAAGGACAAGGCCUUCAAGGAGCAGCUCUCUCUCUUGGCCACCUCGCUGCCCAUGCUGCAGGUACAGGGAGCUCGGGGUGCGGGUGGGUCCCACCUCCCCGGCCAGGCACUGAGCAGCGUCUCCUCCACCAGGUCCACCUGGUCAUCUGCUCCUCCUUCCUCAGCUUGGCCAACAAGGCUGAGUUCCUGGACCUGGGCUAUGUGAGUCUCCUCUGCUCCUGCAGAUGCCCCCUCCCCACCAGAAGCCCACCCUGCAGACCAGAGCCGCCAACUCAGGGGUGGACAGCCUGUCACCUGGAGCCUGGACCGGGGGGCUCGGGGCUGGCCCCUCCCAACUCCAUCAUCUGCAAACCUGUUAGGGCCACUCUUGCAAGGACAGUGAAGCCAGGAAGGGGGCUGCCUACGGUCCCCCAUGGGGCAGAGUGACCACUGGAGUCCAGCCGCCCCCUCUCCUGUGGAUUUGGGGAUGGGGUGGGGGUUUGUCCAGGUGAGUCCCAGAAAAGGGCUGGCGCUGCUAAGGGACGCCAAGUCAAGUGCCAAAGGCAGACGUGCUCCGUCUCCAUCUCCCCUCUUCCUGCCCCCUGGCUGCCACACCUCCACCGGCCUGAGGCCCUCCUCGCUGCCACAGGAGCUGAUGGAGAGGCUGCAGGGCAUCGUCA